UGGCUCUGGCAGGGGCAAUACCAUAAUCAAGGAGGUGGAUUGCCCAAAGUGAGGCUCAGCCAUUGCACUCUGGCUGUGCUGACCUUUGCAAAUUCCCCAAAUGCAGGAAUCUUGACUGCAUAAUUUCUGAUAGUGGCUGACUGUGUUUGCACUCUCCCG
Tachysurus fulvidraco (yellow catfish) is the source of this 159-nucleotide small nuclear RNA. RefSeq annotates it as U1 spliceosomal RNA. NCBI's taxonomy places the organism in Eukaryota, Metazoa, Chordata, Actinopteri, Siluriformes, Bagridae. The transcript has a single exon. The record is from RefSeq and is a predicted model, not a curated record.